This 411-nucleotide ribosomal RNA is filed under the name uncultured beta proteobacterium. RNAcentral describes it as "partial 16S ribosomal RNA". The record is from RNAcentral. Lineage: Bacteria; Pseudomonadati; Pseudomonadota; Betaproteobacteria.
CAGGCGGGCACUUCACGCGUUAGCUGCGGUACUGAAGGGGUUUAACUACCCCCNACACCCUAGUUGACAUCGUUUAGGGCGUGGACUACCAGGGUAUCUAAUCCUGUUUGCUCCCCACGCUUUCGUGCCUGAGCGUCAGUAUUGGCCCAGGGGGCUGCCUUCGCCAUCGGUGUUCCUCCAGAUAUCUACGCAUUUCACUGCUACACGAGGAAUUCCACCCCCCUCUGCCACACUCAAGUCUGGCAGUCUCAAAUGCACUUCCCAGGUUGAGCCCGGGGAUUUCACAUCUGACUUAAAAAACCGCCUGCGCACGCUUUACGCCCAGUAAUUCCGAAUAACGCUCGCACCCUACGUAUUACCGCGGCUGCUGGCACGUAGUUAGCCGGUGCUUCUUNUUCGGGUACCGUCAUU